Molecule: long non-coding RNA, 716 nt
Organism: Drosophila yakuba
Lineage: Eukaryota; Metazoa; Arthropoda; Insecta; Diptera; Drosophilidae
Exons: 2
Source: RefSeq, a predicted model, not a curated record
GCUCAACUUGCCCGUAAUAUAAAUACGAUACAUAUGCCAAGGAAUAUCUACUUUGGUUAUGGGGUGAAAUUCAAUUAGCAAUUUUCCGGAUGGAGGUUUAGUCAAUUUGCAAAAAAAAAAAAAACGAUUUUGUUGAAAGACGUUUAACUCCACAAUAAACGAUGAAUUUGAAUUUAAAUUUGAAUUUCUCGGUAAUUCGAAGUCAUUAUCAGCGGAUCUAAUGCAACUCUGAUCACGGCAAAGCUACAAUUAGAGCUUUAAGUGCAUGGUAGCUUUAGCACUGCACUUACUCCCUGAUGGAGUUCUUUUCUCUUUUGGCCGUCGCAAUGAUCAGCAGUGGAGUCUGCGAAAAAAUGAUCUUCUUUUAUUUUCAAGAAAAACGAGGCAAAUCUAGCGUCCCACAUUGCCACGGGCAGCUCUUACAGGGCACGUCUCUGCGGAUAGCGAUCCACAGUGACUUAGAUCGGGGUUCUAUACAUCGAUACUCUACAUAUACCAGUGCAACUGCAGAGCAACUAUAAUUAAAGAACUUAUCAAAAAUGCAACAUCCAUAAAUAGUAUUGCCCAAUUUACAUAUUACAAUACACAUACAUUCACACAGUUCUAUAUUAUAAAUUAAAUUUGAAUUUAUUAUUUUCUUUUUAUUUACACUUGCUUAUGUGAACGUAUAUCAACAAAUACAAACAUACUUAAUACCCUAUAAAUUGCACAAUCCA